AGGACGAACGCUGGCGGCGUGCUUAACACAUGCAAGUCGAGCGGAAAGGCCCUUCGGGGUACUCGAGCGGCGAACGGGUGAGUAACACGUGAGCAACCUGCCCCUGGCUCUGGGAUAGCCUCCGGAAACGGGGAUUAAUACCGGACAUUCACUUCCUUCCGCAUGGUUGGUGGUGGAAAGUUUUUUCGGCCGGGGAGGGGCUCGCGGCCUAUCAGCUUGUUGGCGGGGUAACGGCCCACCAAGGCGACGACGGGUAGCCGGCCUGAGAGGGCGACCGGCCACACUGGGACUGAGACACGGCCCAGACUCCUACGGGAGGCAGCAGUGGGGAAUAUUGCGCAAUGGGCGGAAGCCUGACGCAGCGACGCCGCGUGGGGAUGAAGGCCUUCGGGUUGUAAACCCCUUUCACCAGGAGCGAAUCCAGACGGUACCUGGGGAAGAAGCGCCGGCUAACUACGCGCCAGCAGCCGC
This 471-nucleotide ribosomal RNA is filed under the name uncultured bacterium. RNAcentral describes it as "SSU rRNA". It matches the Rfam family "Bacterial small subunit ribosomal RNA", at positions 26 to 518 of the family's 1533-position model. The record is from RNAcentral.